GAUGAACGCUGGCGGCGUGCCUAAUACAUGCAAGUCGAGCGAACAGACGAGGAGCUUGCUCCUCUGACGUUAGCGGCGGACGGGUGAGUAACACGUGGAUAACCUACCUAUAAGACUGGGAUAACUUCGGGAAACCGGAGCUAAUACCGGAUAAUAUAUUGAACCGCAUGGUUCAAUAGUGAAAGACGGUUUUGCUGUCACUUAUAGAUGGAUCCGCGCCGCAUUAGCUAGUUGGUAAGGUAACGGCUUACCAAGGCGACGAUGCGUAGCCGACCUGAGAGGGUGAUCGGCCAAAAUGGAACUGAAACACGGUCCAAACUCCUAAGGGAGGCAACAGUAGGGAAUUUUCCACAAUGGGCGAAAGCCUGACGGAGAAACGCCGCGUGAGAUAAGAAGGUUUUCGGAUUGUAAAACUCUGUUAUUAGGAAAAAAAAAAUGUGUAAGUAAAUAUGCACGUUUUGACGGUACAUAAUCAAAAAGCCACGGCUAACUACGU
Molecule: ribosomal RNA, 496 nt
Filed under: uncultured bacterium
Lineage: Bacteria
Description: partial 16S ribosomal RNA
Rfam family: Bacterial small subunit ribosomal RNA
Source: RNAcentral